This 301-nucleotide ribosomal RNA is filed under the name uncultured bacterium. RNAcentral's name for it is "bacterial SSU rRNA". It matches the Rfam family "Bacterial small subunit ribosomal RNA", at positions 335 to 647 of the family's 1533-position model. The record is from RNAcentral.
UGUCCUACGGGAGGCAGCAGUCGAGAAUCAUUCACAAUGGGGGAAACCCUGAUGGUGCGACGCCGCGUGGGGGAAUGAAGGUCUUCGGAUUGUAAACCCCUGUCAUGUGGGAGCAAAUUAAAAAGAUAGUACCACAAGAGGAAGAGACGGCUAACUCUGUGCCAGCAGCCGCGGUAAUACAGAGGUCUCAAGCGUUGUUCGGAAUCACUGGGCGUAAAGCGUGCGUAGGCUGUUUCGUAAGUCGUGUGUGAAAGGAGAGGGCUCAACCCGGGGAGGGCACAUGAUAAUGCGAGAUUAGAGU